AGCCCGGUGGUGUAGCGGCCAAGCAUACCGGCCUUUGGAGCCGGUGACGGCGGUUCGAAUCCGCCCCGGGCUA
Molecule: transfer RNA, 73 nt
Filed under: Nitrososphaerota archaeon
Lineage: Archaea; Thermoproteati; Nitrososphaerota
Also listed under: 1 other name
Description: Thaumarchaeota archaeon (hot springs metagenome) tRNA-Gln
Rfam family: tRNA
About the family: Transfer RNA (tRNA) molecules are approximately 80 nucleotides in length. Their secondary structure includes four short double-helical elements and three loops (D, anti-codon, and T loops). Further hydrogen bonds mediate the characteristic L-shaped molecular structure. tRNAs have two regions of fundamental functional importance: the anti-codon, which is responsible for specific mRNA codon recognition, and the 3' end, to which the tRNAs corresponding amino acid is attached (by aminoacyl-tRNA synthetases). tRNAs cope with the degeneracy of the genetic code in two manners: having more than one tRNA (with a specific anti-codon) for a particular amino acid; and 'wobble' base-pairing, i.e. permitting non-standard base-pairing at the 3rd anti-codon position.
Source: RNAcentral